CCUACGGGUGGCUGCAGUAGGGAAUAUUGGGCAAUGGAGGCAACUCUGACCCAGCCAUGCCGCGUGCAGGAAGAAGGCGUUAUGCGUUGUAAACUGCUUUUAUAUAGGAAGAAAGAGUUCUUGCGAGAACAGUUGACGGUACUAUAUGAAUAAGCACCGGCUAACUCCGUGCCAGCAGCCGCGGUAAUACGGAGGGUGCAAGCGUUGUCCGGAUUUAUUGGGUUUAAAGGGUGCGUAGGCGGUUUAUUAAGUCAGUGGUGAAAGACGGUCGCUCAACGAUUGCAGUGCCAUUGAUACUGGUAGACUUGAGUGAGAUUGAGGUAGCUGGAAUGGAUAGUGUAGCGGUGAAAUGCAUAGAUAUUAUCCAGAACACCAAUUGCGUAGGCAAGUUACUAAGUCUCAACUGACGCUGAGGCACGAAAGUGUGGGUAUCAAACAGGAUUAGAUACCCUGGUAGUC
This 459-nucleotide ribosomal RNA is filed under the name uncultured bacterium. RNAcentral's name for it is "bacterial SSU rRNA". It matches the Rfam family "Bacterial small subunit ribosomal RNA", at positions 338 to 795 of the family's 1533-position model. The record is from RNAcentral.